Molecule: ribosomal RNA, 450 nt
Filed under: uncultured Planctomyces sp.
Lineage: Bacteria; Pseudomonadati; Planctomycetota; Planctomycetia; Planctomycetales; Planctomycetaceae
Description: bacterial SSU rRNA
Rfam family: Bacterial small subunit ribosomal RNA
Source: RNAcentral
AGAGUUUGAUCAUGGCUCAGAAUGAACGUUGGCGGCGUGGAUUAGGCAUGCAAGUCGAGCGAGAACCGGAGCAAUCCGGGGAAAGCGGCAAACGGGGUAGUAAUGUGUCGGUACGUGCCCUCAGGUCGGGGAUAGCCAGGGGAAACUCUGAUUAAUACCCGAUGAUCUCGAGAGAGCAAAGGUCCGCUGCCGGAGGAGCGGCCGACAUGGUAUCAGGUAGUUGGUGAGGUAACGGCUCACCAAGCCUUAGACGCCUAGGGGGCGUGAGAGCGCGACCCCCACCACUGGGACUGAGAUACUGCCCAGACACCUACGGGUGGCUGCAGUCGAGAAUCUUCCGCAAUGGGCGCAAGCCUGACGGAGCGACGCCGCGUGCGGGAUGAAGGCCCUUGGGUUGUAAACCGCUGUCAGGGGGGAUGAAAGCCGCAAGGCUGACAGAGCCCCAGAGAG